RNAcentral lists this ribosomal RNA (349 nucleotides) under uncultured Erwinia sp. RNAcentral describes it as "bacterial SSU rRNA". It matches the Rfam family "Bacterial small subunit ribosomal RNA", at positions 99 to 451 of the family's 1533-position model. The record is from RNAcentral. Lineage: Bacteria; Pseudomonadati; Pseudomonadota; Gammaproteobacteria; Enterobacterales; Erwiniaceae.
CGGACGGGUGAGUAAUGUCUGGGAAACUGCCUGAUGGAGGGGGAUAACUACUGGAAACGGUAGCUAAUACCGCAUAACGUCGCAAGACCAAAGUGGGGGACCUUCGGGCCUCACGCCAUCGGAUGUGCCCAGAUGGGAUUAGCUAGUAGGUGGGGUAAUGGCUCACCUAGGCGACGAUCCCUAGCUGGUCUGAGAGGAUGACCAGCCACACUGGAACUGAGACACGGUCCAGACUCCUACGGGAGGCAGCAGUGGGGAAUAUUGCACAAUGGGCGCAAGCCUGAUGCAGCCAUGCCGCGUGUGUGAAGAAGGCCUUCGGGUUGUAAAGCACUUUCAGCGAGGAGGAAGG